CGCUAGCGGCAGGCUUAAUACAUGCAAGUCGGACGGCAGCACGGGUAGCAAUACCUGGUGGCGAGUGGCGCACGGGUGCGUAACGCGUAUGCAACCUACCCUUAACUGAGACAUAACCUGGCGAAAGCUGGGCUAAUAUCUCAUGAGGUUAUAGAGGGGCAUCCUGAUAUAAUCAAAGCAGCGAUGUGGUUAAGGAUGGGCAUGCGUCCCAUUAGCUAGUUGGCGAGGUAACGGCUCACCAAGGCGACGAUGGGUAGGGGUUCUGAGAGGAAGGUCCCCCACACUGGUACUGAGACACGGACCAGA
RNAcentral lists this ribosomal RNA (306 nucleotides) under uncultured bacterium. RNAcentral's name for it is "bacterial SSU rRNA". It matches the Rfam family "Bacterial small subunit ribosomal RNA", at positions 34 to 335 of the family's 1533-position model. The record is from RNAcentral.